UCGACGAUGGUGGUCUCACACGUGCUGUUUCCCUCUUUACUGCGAGGGAACCUCAAGCUUAUAUAACCCGCAGCGCUACCAAGGCAGGAGGGAGAGCCAUCCUGGAGGCUUGCGUGAGCAACGUCGACGGACGGGUUCCUUCGGCAGAUUACGGCAGUUGUCUACUACAGGAAACUACGAUUCAUGCUUGCCAAGAGGAAUUCUAGCUCCCUCGACAGUGCCGUGAACGGACCUGCUACAGCAGAUGCCUUCCACUUCGUAUGCUUCCCCAAAUAGUUCAGCAACACAGCCCUCGGAAACCCGCUGCGCAGCAACUUUACGGUAGCAGCGCCAUCAGAGUCGACGACGUCGUCCUCCUGCGUAGGGUGCUGUCCGCGGAUACUGACUGCCCUUCCGCUGAAAUUUUGCCCUUGUCAGACCUUUGAAAAGGUGGGAGUGUGGUAAUAGGAAGGAGUUAUCGCGAAGUCCCCCAUCUUAAACAUGGUGUCCCUUCUCUACUGCGAGGGAACCUGAAGCUUGUCCAGCCGUGGCUGGAAAACAAACGUCUUCACUAGUGUUGCUGCAGAGGACAGAUUACGACGCAGUGGUUUUCUACAGGAAACUGUCGUGUAUGCAAAUAAACAUGCUGUUGUUGGUUA
Molecule: long non-coding RNA, 638 nt
Organism: Ornithodoros turicata
Lineage: Eukaryota; Metazoa; Arthropoda; Arachnida; Ixodida; Argasidae
Exons: 2
Source: RefSeq, a predicted model, not a curated record